UAAAGCCUCAAUUUGACCUCCUUACCAAUUGAGUUGAAAUCAACAAAAGGACGAAAUCUAAAGGAAUCAGUUCUUUGUCAACAGUCCUUCAAAUCUUAUAUUACGUGGCUUCAGCAGGGACAACACACACCCACCACAGAUGUAGAUGACAACCAACUGAAAAAUAGAAGAACAAUGGACAAACCCAAAGCAUAUGGCAACCAAAGCAGAUUCAAUUCUAGGAUGAUAAUUUUAUACCGCAGCUGAAACUAAAAACACUUAGUUGGGCAUAAUCAUAAAUAGUAAGCAUUACCGAGUUCUUUCAUUCCAAAAGGAUUUUUCAAUUCUCUGUAUCUGGAUUUCAAAUCAGCACAAAUCAGAACUGAAGCCUAACCAUUCUGUCAGCUUCUUGCAUUCCCACAUGUCAAUACCAAAAUACAUGCCAUAAACACAUAUCGAACACAUAACCUCCGACCACAAAUUAUAACAGCAGUUAGUCAGUACUCGGUACAUAAGAUGCAAGCAAAUAGUUCAUAGUUGAACAUUAGAAUCAUAAAAAUUCAUUCAGAAGACAUCAAAGUUUAGAAAAAUUAUGAGCAGUCUUUCACCAGGUAAACCAAGCACUGCAAUCCUCUGUCCAAGCAGGGACAAGUAGAAUGUAAAUCAUAUCACAACUGCAAGGCAGCAACUGGUCGUUACAUUUAGGAUUUGGCUACAAAGCAUUUCAACCGACAUAAAACUUGGAAUUGAACGGUUAUCUAUCCACUGCAAACAUACUGCCGAGAUUGAUGAACUUGACGAGGCAUAACGCAACUUGUAUCAGCUGGCAUCUUGUUCCUGUUACAUCCUGUAUGUGUCCAUGAUUAGUUUAAUCAUUCACAGUCCCACACUAGGACCCCGUUAAGGAUAUUAAAUUAAGAAAUAUGUUACGAUGCAAGGUGGAGCAGAGGGGCAACUAGAAUGGCAAUAUGAGUAUCUUUAUAUACAUGCCAACGAUAUAUUCUGCAACUGGUGUCAGCCAUUCCAGAUUCCCCUCUAGGACUUUCACUUUACAGGAUAGAGCGGCAGCUUUCGAACAUAUGGAAUUCUUUGAGUUGGAGCAGAAGGGCAACUGGAAUGUCUAUAUGAUUAUUCUCCAUAGACAGGCCAACGAUGUAUUCUGGAACCAGUGUAAGCCAUUCCAGUGUUCCCCUCUAGGACUCCACUUUAGGACUUUCAUUUUACCGAUACAGCAGCAGCUUACCAACAUAUGUAUUUCUUUGAGUUGGAGCAGAAGGGCAACUGGAAUGUCUAUAUGAUUAUUCUCCAUAGACAGGCCAACGAUGUAUUCUGGAACCAGUGUAAGCCAUUCCAGUGUUCCCCUCUAGGACUCCACUUUAGGACUUUCAUUUUACCGAUACAGCAGCAGCUUACCAACAUAUGUAUUCCUUUGACUUGGAGCAGAAGGGCAACUGGAAUGUCUAUAUGAUUAUUCUCCAUAGACAGGCCAACGAUGUAUUCUGGAACCAGUGUAAGCCAUUCCAGUGUUCCCCUCUAGGACUCCACUUUAGGACUUUCAUUUUACCGAUACAGCAGCAGCUUACCAACAUAUGUAUUCCUUUGACUUGGAGCAGAAGGGCAACUGGAAUGUCUAUAUGAUUAUUCUCCAUAGACAGGCCAACGAUGUAUUCUGGAACCAGUGUAAGCCAUUCCAGUGUUCCCCUCUAGGACUCCACUUUAGGACUUUCAUUUUACCGAUACAGCAGCAGCUUACCAACAUAUGUAUUCCUUUGACUUGGAGCAGAAGGGCAACUGGAAUGUCUAUAUGAUUAUUCUCCAUAGACAGGCCAACGAUGUAUUCUGGAACCAGUGUAAGCCAUUCCAGUGUUCCCCUCUAGGACUCCACUUUAGGACUUUCAUUUUACCGAUACAGCAGCAGCUUACCAACAUAUGUAUUCCUUUGACUUGGAGCAGAAGGGCAACUGGAAUGUCUAUAUGAUUAUUCUCCAUAGACAGGCCAACGAUGUAUUCUGGAACCAGUGUAAGCCAUUCCAGUGUUCCCCUCUAGGACUCCACUUUAGGACUUUCAUUUUACCGAUACAGCAGCAGCUUACCAACAUAUGUAUUCCUUUGACUUGGAGCAGAAGGGCAACUGGAAUGUCUAUAUGAUUAUUCUCCAUAGACAGGCCAACGAUGUAUUCUGGAACCAGUGUAAGCCAUUCCAGUGUUCCCCUCUAGGACUCCACUUUAGGACUUUCAUUUUACCGAUACAGCAGCAGCUUACCAACAUAUGUAUUCCUUUGACUUGGAGCAGAAGGGCAACUGGAAUGUCUAUAUGAUUAUUCUCCAUAGACAGGCCAACGAUGUAUUCUGGAACCAGUGUAAGCCAUUCCAGUGUUCCCCUCUAGGACUCCACUUUAGGACUUUCAUUUUACCGAUACAGCAGCAGCUUACCAACAUAUGUAUUCCUUUGACUUGGAGCAGAAGGGCAACUGGAAUGUCUAUAUGAUUAUUCUCCAUAGACAGGCCAACGAUGUAUUCUGGAACCAGUGUAAGCCAUUCCAGUGUUCCCCUCUAGGACUCCACUUUAGGACUUUCAUUUUACCGAUACAGCAGCAGCUUACCAACAUAUGUAUUUCUUUGAGUUGGAGCAGAAGGGCAACUGGAAUGUCUAUAUGAUUAUUCUCCAUAGACAGGCCAACGAUGUAUUCUGGAACCAGUGUAAGCCAUUCCAGUGUUCCCCUCUAGGACUCCACUUUAGGACUUUCAUUUUACCGAUACAGCAGCAGCUUACCAACAUAUGUAUUCCUUUGACUUGGAGCAGAAGGGCAACUGGAAUGUCUAUAUGAUUAUUCUCCAUAGACAGGCCAACGAUGUAUUCUGGAACCAGUGUAAGCAAUUCCAGUGUUCCCCUCUAGGACUCCACUUUAGGACUUUCACUUUACUGAAUACAGCAGCAGCUUACCAACAUAUGUAUUCCUUUGACUUGGAGCAGAAGGGCAACUGGAAUGUCUAUAUGAUUAUUCUCCAUAGACAGGCCAACGAUGUAUUCUGGAACCAGUGUAAGCCAUUCCAGUGUUCCCCUCUAGGACUCCACUUUAGGACUUUCACUUUACAGGAUAGAGCAACUCGAAUGUAAAAAUAUGAUCACUCCCAAUAGCUAAAACCUCGAGCUGGAUACAAGGGACACUGAUAAUUCAAUAGCAAAAGCCAUGUUUGCAUUAUGAAGGUGUAGAGUGAGUAAGAAAAAUCAAAGUGAGAUAAGAAGAAGAAAGAGUGCAGGGUGUUCUAUGAGUGAGGGCAAGGAAAGGUCUAAGUGAUCAAAUUGUAAUACUAGCGCCCCAACAACAAUAACACUAAGCAGCCAGAUUGUCACAGGCAGUAUGGUAUGCGCAUAAUAGGUGCAUUAUCAAGUUCCUAGAGAGGAAAUGCAAUAACCAAAAGUAAUUUGAGGGAAAAAAACUACUUAAGGAGAUUAGAGAUAGAAGCUGACCGUGAAACUAGAAGCCAUUUGUAGGACUAGAGAUCCUCGAAACCAUGAUCAAACUAAUUAGGACCCAGGCGACAUUUCAAGAGGACUACCAGCAACAUCGAUCGAAUCAGAUGUGAGAAUACAGUUUCGGAGGAAACAUCACGCCUCCCAACUUGAUUUAAUUGGAACCGAAUACCGCCAUAAAUCAUCCAACUCGCAGAAUCCAUCGGUGAUCACGUUCCACGAACCAGUUAGGGUUCCGGCGACCUUUCAAGAAGACAACCACCAAUAACGAUCGGAUAAUCAGUGAGACUACGGUCCAAUUAGGACUCCGAAGACCUUCCAUCGCGACAAGGACAACCACCAUCAGCGAUAGAUUAAGACUUGAGGCUACAGUCGAAUUGGGCUCCGGCGACCUCUAAGAGGAAUAACACCAACAACGAUCGCAUAAGAUGUUAGACUAAGGUCCAAUUAGAGCUCCGACAACCUUUCAAGAUGACAACCACCAACAACAAUCGAAUAAGAAGCAAGACUACGGUUCGUAGAGAUCAGAAAAAAAGUUAAAAUCGCAAAACGAAAACCGCCAAUACUUACAGUGAAACAGAAGAUCUCCGGCGUCAUAACACCGGAAGAUCAAUCGCCGCAAAAUUGGAACUCGAAACUCGAAGAACGGAAUAAGAGUAGAACAAGACUUGCUCGAAUCUAAAUUGGCAGAACGGUUACCUCUUGGUAUAUAGGUGUGGGGCGAGUCGGUUUUCUGGCCGUUGGAGAGAAUACGCUUUUUUAACCGUUGAUCUAUUUUCUUGCCAGCUAGGCCGGUUUGUUGCUUCAUAUUGCCAACUGGAGACACGCGUUUUAACAGGUCAUCUUUUUAUUGCCAGCAAGACUACACAUUUUUUGGGCCUUUUGCAAUACUUGGCCCAUUCGAGCUUAUUUUGAGAUUCACGCUUUCGGCCUAUUCGAGCUUAUUUGAAAUUUCAGCUCAGAGCAUCAAUAGACCCAUUUGGGCCUAGAACGAGGUCCACUCACGUGGUAUAGAAUGAAUUUUUUUAUUAUGAAAAGGUAAUGAAAAAAAAUUAUAACCACAAAUUUAUUUCACCUAAAAAAAGAAACACAACAUAAGAAAUGGUUGGACUUGGAUCGCAGGUACAGUCGUAUAGCUUAUAAGAUAUUCGACCAAAUCUAAACACCCUAAUCAGUAAUUAUUUCAAUCCUAACCCUGGCAAGUGUGACAGCGGUCAUCUCCUUUAGAGUCUCUUCUUUUUUAAUCAUUCACCCCAACCUUAUAUUGUGAAGAAAUAUUAUUGAUUCGAAAAAUAACUUAUAAACAUUAUCUAGCUUUAACAGGCUAAUUAAAAAAAUAGGUGGUCUAUCCAUGCCAGAGUUGUCGUUUUAUUUCAAGAGCCAUAUUUGCGUCUAGCCGACAAUGCUCCCAACUGCCGAUCAGACUCACCAAUUAAGCGGCAGAUACUCCAGCACAGAACCCCCCCCCAUCUCAGUUAGAUCGUCUUCUGCAUCUGAAGCCGUUGAAGCAAAGCCUGGACUGAAAUGAAAGACACCUCUACUCCUGGGAGUCUUUCCAAAUUUGUGGACGAGAUUGUUCUCCUUACAAAAAUCCAAAAAAUAAUAUCUUUGGAAAAGGGACAAAUUAAUAUACAUCAUAAAAUAAAAUAAUGCACUUCAGUGCACACCACGAAAUAAUGAGCAAUAUCUUCCUAUCUUUUGCUCGUAUCUAUCUUGGUGGGCCACAACAAAUGGGACCCAGCUAUCAUCUAUUGUCAACUUCUAAGUUCUACACUUCUACCACAGAUCAUCCCACUAUAAACCUUAAUCGAGUUUUGAUUUUGAAGUUUGGAAUGUGCACUUAUUUCGCAAUACUAUGAUGAUAUUACCGGUCUUAUUUAAAAUGAUAACUGAUCCCGAAGUUUACAGACACCGUAUUAAAUAUUUUCUAAUCCUUCAAUUGUCAAUCAAUCGAUUUGAUUUUGAUUUUCAAGUUUGAUAAUAAUUAAACUCACGUGAAAUAAAUAAAAAAGAGGAUGGGAAAGCAAAUAAAGGAAAAUGAGAGUGGUUGGCUGGCAAAAUAUCUAAAAAAUGUUAUCCAAAUCGGACGAAGAAUGCGUCAAUAUCUUCCACACACAAGUGAGAGGGUAAAUAAAUAAAAAAGGAAAAUAAAAUAAAAGGCCCCACAGCAGUACACGAGAGACAGCCAAGUGUCCCCCACCUCCUCUCCAUUCUCAGCCACAAGAUUUCUUCUCGAAUUCUCCAUUCUCCUUUUCAUUUUUUUACUUGUCCUUUUUCUUUUUUAUAAAUUCCGACCGAACUAGUGGCUUGCUGAGGUGGCACCCUCCUCAGCCUUUCCUUUUAUUCCCAACAAAUCUCAAAACACUUUUCCCACCUCUCUCUCUCUCUCUCUCCCUCUUCUUUCAGAUUUUUCCUGCGAAAAAUUCCAUUUUCCCUUGCAGCCAAUCACUGUUCUCGGAGCUCCGAGUCAUUUAUCUUAACCGGCAGAGGUCUGCUACUUCGCCUUACUCGCCGUCGGAGAAGGAACUACGGCGGAUUGGAUUUGUUUAUUUCCACUUCUCAGGUGAAUUUUCUGAGUUUUUUUUUCUCGAUCUUGAUUGAAUUUCGAUCGAUUUUUUUCUUCAUUUUCCUUUCCGCUGCUGAUUGAGUCGACUCUGUUUUUGUUGAAUUUGUUCAGUCUUUCGAGCGAAUUUUGAAUCUGAAGGCUGAAUAUCGGAAGAUCAGCGUCAGCUCCAGCUCAAUGGCUGCUUCUCAGGUACUUGAAUUGUUGUUUAGCUUUUCUUCUGUAAAUGUUUUCCCCUUCUGGAGUAUGAAGCUUGUAAGUAUAGUUUGCUGAUGUUAGUAUCUUUAUGAUUAGAUAGCAGAACUUUACUAUCAGAUUCAGAUUUGGCGUUGGAUGAAAUGUUGUUUUUUUCCCUACUUGACAAUGUGAUUGCUCCUUCAUCUUCACAGUAUCACCCAGAGCCUCUAAUGGUUGCUUCUAUGUGUGAGCUUUAAGCUGAUCCUGCUUUUGGUUUUGUUGGAAUUACAGGAUGAAGUUCAAGAAGCUCUACCUAACCAAGUCGAUGGAGGUGAACAAAUGAUGGAAAUGAAUUCAUUUGGGAGUCAGCAGCUGCCCAAGGUUGGUAUAAUCAUUUGACACUCUUAGCCUGUUUAGGUCUUUUUCUUCGUUUCUUCGUUCAACUAACUAAUAGGUCAUUUGACUUGCAGGCAAGGAAGCCUUACACUGUCUCCAAGCAGAGGGAGAAGUGGACUGAAGAGGAACACCAGAAGUUCCUCGAAGCUCUGAAGCUAUAUGGCCGUGGCUGGCGUAAGAUUCAAGGUGUGUGUUGCCUUUGAAAUUACGCCCCCUUGUUUCUCAGGAACUUCUCCGUGUGUGCCCAUACCAUAUCAGUCUGGAUAAAGUUGUUGUUACUAUCAUCUUGCAGAACAUGUAGGCACCAAAACUGCUGUUCAAAUCCGAAGCCACGCCCAGAAGUUCUUCUCCAAGGUUCGUUGCUUAUCUCUGUGUGCAUACUUGUAUUGAUCGAUCGAGUGAAUCUGAUACUGAAAAGAUUCAGCCUUGACAUCAUCUGACAUGGAUGCUGUUGUAUUUGCAGGUUGUCAGAGAGACGACUGUCGGCGCAGAGAGCUCCAUUAAGCCAAUUGAGAUACCCCCUCCUCGUCCAAAGAGGAAGCCUUUGCACCCUUAUCCUCGUAAAUGUGUCGAUGGUCUCUUGGAUCAGUUCGAAAGAUCACAGUCCCCAAAUUUAUUGGGUAUUGAGAAGGAAAACCGUUCGCCAACUUCUGUAUUGGAGCCUCAAAAUGGUUGUUCCUCAUCAUCCACCAGUGACUUGCAGUCCUCCAGCAUGCUACUACCAAAUGAGAAAGAUAACGAACAGAUCAUGUCAAAUUCAUCUCAACGUGAAGGAAAUGGAUCCUCAUCACCAUUGGACGACUCGGCACCAGAAGAAUUACCCGUGGUUAGUUUUCAGAUGCGGUGUAUUGCCUUCUCCUAUUGUAAUUCAGUAAUUCGUAAUGCAACGAUCCUGACUUCCUCCUUUCCUUCUGCAUUUUCUUUGUCUAGGAAUUGCAGGCCAGUUUGAAGACUGCAGCAUUUGCUGAAAAUGAGAGAGCUGUGGUGCCAGUCACCCGGUCAAGGAGCUUCAAGCUUUUUGGACGGACAGUGUUGGUUCCGGAUUCCGAGAAGGCAUCUAGCCAACAGGAUUGCAUAGGCGUGAAGUUGUCCCUCGGGUUGGUCAAUCCUGACUCAAACCGGUUGCUGUCCGAUCCGCAGGCUUCACGAACCAAAGAUAAGCUGGAAAAUACUGCAGAAGCCAACUGUUCACUAUCACCAUGGGGUUUAUCCCACAGUUCAUUGCAUAAUUACUUGCAACAACCAAUUACGGGAAACAUUUUGAAGGAAAGGGAAGCUGUAGACGAAACGUUUUGCACCGGCUCGGAUGCCGGUUCAACAAAUGAAGUAGAGAACAGAGAGAAAUCCAUGGACGUAGCGGAUUCACAGCCUGAAGAAAGAUUAUCCAGUGUAAGAAUCUAUUCUAGUAGGGGUUUCAUGCCAUACAAGAGAUGUUUAGCCGAGAGGGACAUGACAUCAACAUUAGCUGCAUCAGAAGAACGAGACCAGCAACGAUCUCGAGUAUGCUCUUAGCCUCUUGGAGAAACAAACUUAAAAAUCUCCCUCAAUUUUUAGUAGUGAUAUAGAGAACUGUAGACAAACUGGAUUUUUUGUCCUCUCGAGUGAAGAAGGCUGCAGAAGUUGCUUCUUUUUGGCUCGAAAGACUUGGAAAUGUGAUCACACGAUGAGUGUCCAUCAGUGAAUGCAGGGAUAAAGACCAAUUGUAAAUUAUCAUUGUAGUUUCGACGAACAUUCCAACAUUUGGCUCGGUUUCAUUUGGCUCUAGUCUGUUUCUUGUUUUGUUCAGCCUACAGUUUUGUACUCUUAAGAAUUUGAAUAUGGUUCAACUAAUGGAUCUUCAAAGGACAGUACAUGAUGAACGAAAGAGUAUAAGUACAACAAAAUAUAGGUUCUCUGCUACCUGUGUUUCCCAAUUGGCUAUCAUCUAUUCUGCAUUGGAUUACUCCGGAGCUCUGAUCUGGCUUUAGCGACUUCCACGAAUAUAACCCUGCCGUCCAGAAACUGAAAGGGAGUCAGUUUGUGUUUUCGAUGAAUGCUCUUUUGAUAUCUGAAGGGUUAAUAUGCGUUCUUUCUUUUGGAGCUGCUAUCAUCUGGGUAUUAUGAUGUAGUGGCAUUGUUACGCUACAGUUUACUAAUCUCCUUAGAUGUAAUGCUCUAUCCAACUAUGCUUCCAUAUCGCCAUAUUAAUCUAACUCACAGACAUGGAUAAGAACACCUAUAUCAUCAAUACUGACAGUUUACUAAUCUUCUUAGCGGUAAUUCUCUAUCCAACUAUGCUUCAAUAUCGCCAUAGUAAUCUAACUCACAGACAUGGAUAAGAACACCUAUAUCAUCAAUACUGACAGUUUACUAAUCUUCUUAGCGGUAAUUCUCUAUCCAACUAUGCUUCAAUAUCGCCAUAGUAAUCUAACUCACAGACAUGGAUAACACCUAUAUCAUCAAUACUGUUUUCGGAGAACGAUAAUGCUUACCUUUCCAUGCAUUCCUUGGAUGGCCUUUGCGGAUUCCUCUUCGGUGGCGUACCGAACAAAGGCGAACCCUCUAGGCCGUCUUGCAAUUUUAUCCAUCACGAGAUUAACUGUAAGACAAAACAGGCACCUGUUUGUAAGAGCUAAUCAAUGGAUGUAGCUGAUAAAAGAAGAAGGUUAAUUGAGGUGAUCACGAAGAUUGAGAGUUCAAUGUGUUUAUCACCUUCCACUAGUUGGCCGAAACUGUGGAAAGCAUUUCGCAGACCCUCUUCAGUGGUUCGAAAUGAUAGACCUGUACACAAAUUGUACAUAAACAAAUGGAUAGACACAGUGUUAACCAUCAAGCCAUGAUCGAGUAAUUCCUCUUUGAUAUCAAACAUUGAAGGCUUCCGUGGCUCAGAAUUGUACAGAAACCAACAUUUAUGCAGCAACCAUACUAAGAAAUUCAACCAAUUUGUAAUCUCUGCACAGAGAAUCUAGCCUACAAACGAAUCCUCCAGAAUGCGACAGAUUCUUGUCCAUCUUCCAACAUCUACCUAGCAAGAACACUUACCUGCUAACUUAAACGAGCUAUGAACAGAACUACAGAAGGGGAAUAAAGAGGACUUAGUACCGCUUAUGUAGAGCCUGGUUUUCGGAGCGGAAGGAGGGUCAGAUGAUGAUGAUGACGAUGUAGGCAGGCAGGCCAAAACUGAUGAAGGUCUUUGACGCCUGGUACAUUGUGAGCGAGGGAAUCGGAGAGCUGUGCUCUCCAAAAAACUGGCGCGGGAGCAAAUUGAAGACGUCGAUUUCAGGUAGUGAAGUCGCUGAGCUACGGAGAAGGAAGCUGGAUAAGGAGAAGCUACGGAGGAAGUCGUCAAACCCGCCAUUUUUGCUACACAGUUCCACUGGUGUCUGUAAAUUUAAACUAAUAAAUCGGAUGGAUAGAUUGAGAGCGGAACAAAGAAAAAGAAAGUCCUCCAUUUCCGAGUAAGCUACCAAAAUGAUCACUAAAUUUGGAAGGUUUUCAUCAAUCAGUCAUUUAUCUUUAGAAACGGAUGAAAAUCAGUACUUUAUUAUCAGGUCAAAAGCUCUAGAGCACCUACGGACCUACCUUUGAGGUCUGUGACAGCAUGGCCACCGAACCUCGAUUCGUAAAGUAGCACUCACACAAGUAUGAACAACGUAACCGAUCCACAUUUCCGAUCACUUACGACUUAGAGUACUUUCUGGCCAAUUUGGCAGCUCACUAUGUCACGUAAUCUAAAUUAAUAUUUUCAAGUUCAUAAUCCAACUAAUUGAACCAAUAGAGCCUCAACCCAAAAACCAAACCAGCCGGGUUAGUAGCACGGUCGUGCUGAUUGUGAACAAGGAUCAAAGAUAAGACCACAUAGAGCUUUUCAAUUGCCCGAGAGACAGUAUAGUAAAAAAGCAACCAGCAUAACCUUCUAACCUAGCUUCCACAUUGAACUACUUGCAAAACUGUCAGGCAAAUGUUAGUGACUUGCUGGUUGCUACCAAUGCCACAGCUGAGAGGGACAUUUCCAUUAAAGGGAAUGUCGAGACAACGAUGAAAAAUCUUGUAAAAGCAUCGGGGUAUGGUUGGCUAGUCCUCAGUCCUCAUCAUCAGAACUUUCAUAUGCUAACCCUAGCAAGCUUUUCACAGGGUUUUUCUCUGGAAGCUCUUCUCCAGCAGGAGUCUGCUUGCUCUCAUCACUCUCCGAACUGAGAUUAUUUCGUACAGUGGUAGAGAUGCCCCCAUCUGCUCGAUUUGGAAUUCUGGGACGUUUUGGUUUAACUUCCACCACCUUUUUCAGUAGGUCCUGCUGCCUAUUCCACCGUAAUUUUCACACGUAAGACUACAUUACAAGCAGAAAACUUCAAAUUCAUUGUUGAUGAGAACACAAAAAGAAGUAUAUACCUUAUGCCACUCUUCGGUUUGGGCUCUACACGAAGUGGCAGUGGAACUGAUGCUGGUGAAGUGUCUGCCAAGGUUGCAGCUUUGUGUCAAUCAGUUAAGGUUACAUAGACAGACAUCGAGACAUAUAUAGCCUAGACCUACAGAGUGCUUAAGACAUAAAACCACACUAUGAUCAGAUUCGUAAACAGCACAGAAAAAGGAUAUUUUGAAUGCAGCAAAUGCCCUUUUCUCAGUGCGACGCAGGAGUCGUUCUGCAUCCUCUUCAGCUUCCAUCUGCUCCUUGAGGUAAAGUAGGUCAUCACUGUCCAAUGCUGCAAAAGCAAUCUCGAGAAAUUGAACACAGCUGCUACUGAAAGAUAUCUGAAAUGUAGUCUAGCUAAGGCCUCAGAGUAGUAGACAGGAUACCGCCUCUUCCGUGAAGAUAGCCCCCACGUUCUCCAGCAACUUCUUGCAUCUGUCGCAUCACCAAUCCAACGGGAUAAGCCAGGAUCCCUGUCAGGGCAUGUUAUCAGAAGAAAUGGUAGAUGACUCUUUCUCAUUCAUAAAAAGCGUGAAGAUCAAACCCACUCAUACACAAACCAGGAAUCAGUGGCCUUAAUCUUGAUACACUCUUUUGACUGAGAAUUGCUAUCAUCGUAUCUUAAAGAUAUCUUCAUUUUGCCAAUUGAAAGCAUACAACUCCAACUAGUACAAUUUCUUGCAUUUGUUUUCAACCCUAACUCUCUGCAUUCUCGGAUUAAACAAAGCUCAUAUUCCGAAUUGUGGCAAUGUUAUCAAAAGAAAUGCUUGAUGACUCAUUCUAAAAAAUGCAAAGACCACUCUUAUAACCAUUGGCUUAAUCUUGAUGCACCCUUUUGACUGAGAAAUGCUGUCAUCAAAUCUUAAAGCCUUAUCAUUUUCAACCUACAACUCCAGCUAGUACAAUUUCCUCCUUAGGUUUUCUACCGUUCCGGUUUUACUACGAAUCAUUCACAUCCACAGAAUGAUUAGUGAAAAUAACAAAAGGGAGAGAAUCAGAAAUGCUAUCAUCAUAUCUUAAAUAAAGACUUAUCCUCUUCAACCUACAACUCCAACUAAUACAAUUUUCCUGCUUACUUUUCCAACCCUAACUCCCUGGAUAAUGACAAUAAACAUCACUCGUUCCGAUUUUUACUUAGAAUCAUUUACCGUCCACAGAAUGGAAACAGAUCAGGAGAGGCGAUUCGCCUAACCUUAGCAACCAUGCGGUGGAAAGUGACAUCUUCGUCGUCGACUUUAUCUUUGCCCUUUCCGAGUUUCCUCUCUGCACACAAAAAUCCAUUGGAGUCUGAAGAAAGCAAGAGCAACCUGGACAGCUACAAACUGAAAGCAGCGGAAGAUACCUUUGGGAUCGGUGAGGUUUGUAUAUUCUCGCACUUCCCUUCCCGCCAUUACGAGCUACAGCUGAAAGAACACGGAUUCAACAAAAUAUGAGAAGAGGGAUACGAGUAACGAUUGGGUUUGUAAGGAUGACUCACGCAGAAAUUGCUGAACCAGAGAAGCGGAAGCCAGGAAAGAGGAAUCGGAAACUCGUUUAGGGAUUUGAACUUCAAUAAAUUAUUAUCCUGGAGGGAAUGAAGAGGAGCUGAGGAAUUAGGGAUUUGAACUUUGAAAGUCACCACUGGCCAGGGACUAAUGGAUAAAUAUUUGAAAUGCAGCAAAAAUUACAGUUUUGGUCAUUAAAGUUUUAAUCAAUUAAGAAGAAGGCAACACCAUAUAAUCUUCAAGUUGGCUCCCAGAGUCAUUAGUUAAUUGUGGUGUAACACAUCUCACUAAUCCCACAUGGGGGCAAUAAGGAGAUGGCGCAAUCAUCCGGUUUAGUGGACCAGACGUCAUGAUGGUUAGAAUUUAGCUAUUUUUUGAAUCGAUUCAAAGGUUGGACCGAUGGUUUUCUAAAAUGGAGGGAAAUGCAUAAGGUUGGUUUUACCAAACAGCGAUUACGGUUUAUUAAAUAGGGUUUUGAUGUGAACCAUCUUCUUUUUUCCUUUUGUUUUAAUUCGAUUGUCAAAUAAAUUUCUAGAGUCACUUACUGACCUCCUCUUUUCGUGUGUGCUUGUUUGAACAUUUAUUUCGAAAUUAAUCAUGAGUAAAACUUUGCUUAAAAAAUCUACUUUAUACUAUAUUUCCAACUUCCAACAUUAGGAUCCAUGAAAGACAGAGUAGUUGUCAAAAAUGGGAAAUGAAUCAACACAUAGCUUUAACACUUUGUUUCUUUAUUCAACAUGAACAUUUGACAGCUCAAUCAUCAACAAUCAGGAGUUUCUGGUCACGUUGAUCUGGCCAAUCAUGGCAGAAAAAAAUACCUUUCCAUUCAACUUCCAGCUUUUAGAAUGCAAUUGAUCGUUGAAUGCCAUGGCUUUGCUGCUCUAUAAAAAGAGCAGAUCAUAUCAAUCUAUCAGACUCACAAACCAUUCUUCUCAUCUACUUCAUCAUCAAUCUCACAAAAUGGCGGCCAAAUUCAUUCUCUUUGCCUCCAUCUUUGUAUUGAGAGCUCUAGUUUCUCAGACCAUGGCGCGCUAUACCCUUCCCGAAGCUUCCAUACGCCUCAGGCAUGAGCAGUGGAUGACUCGUUAUGGCCGAGUCUACAAUAGUCCUAGCGAAAAGGAGACUCGCUACCAGAUCUUCAAAAACAAUGUAGCCUUCAUCGACUCUUCCAAUGCUUAUGGAGACAGGUCUUACAAGCUUGGAGUUAAUCAGUUUGCUGAUUUAACUAACGAGGAAUUCAAAGCCUCUAGAAACGGGUUCAAGGGGCACAUGUGUUCUACGCAACACGGACCUUUUAGGUACGAAAAUGUGAGCGUGGUUCCAACGACCAUGGACUGGAGGAAGAAGGGAGCAGUCACUCCUAUCAAAGACCAAGGCCAGUGCGGAAGCUGUUGGGCGUUUUCGGCCGUGGGGGCAAUGGAAGGAAUCCACCAGCUCAGUACUGGCAAAUUGGUGUCCCUUUCGGAGCAAGAAUUGGUUGACUGCGACACCAAGGGAGAUGACCAAGGAUGCAGCGGCGGGUUGAUGGACGAUGCGUUCAAGUUUGUCAUUCAAAAUAAGGGACUGACCACCGAGACCAACUACCCUUAUGACGCUGCUGACGGAACCUGUAAUGCUAACAAAGAAGGCAGCAGUGCAGCCAAGAUUACCGGGUACGAAGAUGUGCCGGCCAACAAUGAGGCCGCAUUGAUGAAGGCAGUAGCAAGCCAACCGAUUUCAGUAGCCAUCGAUGCAGGGGAUUCAUCGUUCCAAUUCUAUUCAAGCGGAGUAUUCACUGGAGAAUGUGGGACUGAACUGGACCAUGGAGUGACAGCAGUUGGGUACGGAGAGAGCGGUGGGAUGAAGUACUGGUUGGUGAAGAAUUCGUGGGGAGCACAGUGGGGAGAAGCCGGAUACAUUAGGAUGCAGAAAGAUGUUACCGCCAAAGAAGGUCUAUGCGGAAUCGCCAUGCAGGCUUCCUAUCCUACUGCUUGAUUGUUAUUCUAAUCCGAAGCUAAAUCCACACUCUACAAAAAUUCACUGAAUGCAUAAAUAUGUUUGUAAGAUAUAAAUUGUAAAGUUCGAAUUGUGUUGUAGCCUACAUAUAUGCCUAAUUGUGAACAAGUUAUUCUGUAAGCAUUUGUGGUAAAGAUUCAGCUAUUUUUACUGCAAGUAUCAAGAACUAUCUGCUAACUUAUAAGACAUAAAAUAAAUUACACGAGCUCUACAAUUUAAGCAAUUAGUUAACAGAUGUUACAAAGCCAUUUCCAGAAUCGUCACAGUGCUGAGAGCUCAACCUCUUGGGUACAAGGACGAUAAGCAACGAAAGUGCUGUCACUCGAGAAGGACCCUGGGUUGAAACAAGUGAUGCCGGUAUAUUUGAAUGCCUUCUGCUCACUGUUGUCACCUAAUACUAUCUGUGUCCCAGUAGAACAAACCCAAGAAGAUGAUUUUUCAGAGAAGAAACUAGUGAUAUGUGAGUAGAAAUAAAAAAGAUGAAAGAGAUAUGAUGAUUACCGUAUGUGGUGAUGGAUAAAGAUGAAGACUGUGAUCGUAGUUCCAAAUUACUGGCUGGACAAUGAGAGGGAGAGGGCAGAGAUGACUUUGAUGGGUGAUUGUGGCAACCAACUGUUAGAAGAAGAAAAAAAAAACAAGUCAAACCUUCAGCUCUCCAUAACUAUCCAAAAUAUAUGCUAAGGAGGUAAAAAGAGAAGCAAUACAUGCUCGAAAUCAUCGUCAGUCUCUUCUGUAAAAGGCGGUAUCAAACAUGACCGGCGCAUUCUAUAUAGAAGAUCGUGACAGAAGAACACAAUUUCUUGGGUAUAGAACUUGAUUCUGCAUUGUGGAAAAAAGUAAUGAAAUUUACAAGUCAAUAACUUGUACUCGACGUCUCAAAAGGGUCAAGUUCAAGAAUGAGGAAUUUUACCGGCAUGGGUUGGUUGAAAAUAUAGCACUCAGAACGUGGUUCUGCAGCUCCUCAGUCAAGUAGUUUGGCAAAGGGCAUCUUGGUAGAGCAGUUGAUGGGCCUGAAAAUGAAAUUUUUAUUCUUUAGAUCAUGGCGAGAUAACAAUGGAAGAACCGUGUGGUACGAGUUUCAGUAUACCUGCAUCAUCAGGGCCGGGUAUGAAUAGGAAACGACUCUGAUCCUUUAGCCGUGGAUGAGCACUAAUCAUCUGGCCUAACUUCCCAAAUUGCACCCUGCAGGUUUUACAUUGAACUGUUAAAACUGCUGAUGAAAUCUUUUACAAGCAAGCCUUCGUUUGGGAGGGUACCUAACCUGAGACUCUUCAUUGAAUGGAAGGAAAGGUUACAAGGGACUGAACAGAAGUUCCCCAUAAAGACAAACAAAGAAGGAACCACCUCUUGACUCUCGAAACCAUCGAGCACGGUCUCCAACUUCUUCAUGACCUUCUCCAUGGAUAAAAUGUAUGUCAAAUGAGAUGGACUAUAUGAUAAACUGAAAACAUCCAAGAAUCUAUGAGAUCACCUCUUCAUCAUCUAGCCAAAUGUCGUAUAGUACAACAAACAUGUCAUUAACCGCUCUUUUCUCCAGCUCCGCAAACCUGAGCUAUUGUAUCAUUUAGGAAAUGCCACUUUUGAUACUGUCACGAAUAACUAACCAGACGAAGACUGGAAGAACAAUUAAUGGAAGUGACAAAUAAUAGUAAGGAUACAGCUUCUUCUUUUGCCAGUGUACCACCACCAAAGAAAUCAUGUCUACCGAGUGCUUUUAGUGACUUCUCUCUAUCCUCCAGGGGAGGAAAUCCACAUGUAUGUACCUUCAUAUAGAAAUAAACUGUACCUUAUUCAUAACAUUUACAGGAAAAAUGAAAUAUUACAUUUGAUGAGUUUGAAAGGAAUAUCAACGCAGCUAAGAUAGAUGACUCUUUGAUCAUAUUGACUAACGGAUCAAGAAGAGGAUUUCAGGGUCAUAUGCAGAUAAUCUCUCCAAAGAUCGAUCAACAAGCCAGUGGAAGAUUUAACAAAGAGGGCAUCCGUUUACCUGAAAAAUACCAUCCACGAGCAUUUCUCCUUCUGCAACAACUAUCGUGUUCUCUGAUAGGAAUCCAGUAGUUAUUUUGUGUUCCAUUAUUAAGGAACACAGAUGUGUUGAGCAUCAUUUCAACGAUUAUUAUUCACAUGACAAACAAUAAUGCUACUGGAUAACUCGAUAGGUAGAUUGACCUCAAUAUCAUUUUUCCUUUUCAUAUUUGAGAUGAUUGAACUGCUCAGGCCAAGAAUAGGUAGGAAACAAUAUAAACAACAAAAUGACAAAGCUUUGUAGCCCAAAAAGGAAGAACAGGGCAAAAAAUAACAGCUUGAAGGAUAUUGCUUUUGAGAAAUCGAUCUCAACUGAAGCAGUAAGAUCCUCCAAGAAAAAAUGGCCAUCCUCCAAUUGGGAAAUGAGACCCAUAACCCAUUUUGUACCUGUCUUCCCAAUAAGAGACUGAAUUGGUGCUAUCUGCAACAUUCACGCAAGAGUAAGAAAAGAUACUAAACAGAUGGAAGUUUAACAUGCGACGAGUUUAUACAAAGCAGGUGAAAAAGCACCUCGCAACUUCCAUAGUUUGAAAUAUCAGAUUCAAAUGCAGGCUUGGAGAAGUGCUGAUCGCGUUGCACUCUCUGCAAAAGCAGAAGAAACCGGUCCCUGUAUAGAGCUGCUUUAGCUGAAGCGUCACCUUGGAUAGGAAGCCGCCCCGCAUGCCUGUAUAUAAACAGUGAAAACUCAAGAUCAAACAUCAUAAUUAGGGGUUGGAAAACGCAUCAAUGACGGCAAAGGAGGAGAAGAAGACUCACUGAUAGAAUUGCUUCUUGAUCGAAUGAUAGCGAUAUUUAGGGAUUGAAAAUGCAUCAAUAACGCGAAGAGCAGACUGCGGGGAGACCGAGUUAGGGUUUUCCUCCACAGCUUCGUCAGCUUCCAGUAACGAGCUUACGGCACGACUCACAAGCUCCUUCUCAAUAAUCGAAGAUUUCACUCCCAAUUUCCCUGACAUCAAUAGCAACGAAAAAUUUAAGAAUCCCUAGAAUCGUGGAGAAUAACAAGAGGCGUAAGGCAAAAUGGGAGAAAAGCUGAUUCGAUUACGAGGUCCGGACAGGAGGUGGUCGAGGAGGAGGUCGAGGGCCUCGUCUUCGGCGUCUUGGUAUCGAUUGACGAAGGAAAGGAUCUCUUCAAGAGCGUCGACUUUCAAAGCGUAGCCUCUGAUCUUGAACUUCUUCUGUAUGGACUUUCUCAGGGAGCUUCCCACACCGCCGCUGCUGCUCAUCUCUCUGGUUUGCUACGGUGGCCGGAGAGAGGAUGGAUUUCGGAGUAGAGUUUCUGACGCCGCCGGUGAAAUGAACCAGCUACUUUGUUUAGGCCUACUAGCCAGCUUUUGAGCGGGAAAAUUCAGCAAGUGUAUAGCUAGAAAUGGCGGGAAGUUGCAAUACGGGAGAAUAGUUCAUAAUGAAUGUAGGGCGUCGUUUAAUUCGAAUUCUAGGGCGUCGUUUAGUAACCCUCAUAAUUAUCGGCAUAUUAUUUAAUUGCGAAGAUAAUUUGCAAUGUUUUCAAAACCCAAACGAAAAAGUUGAUAGUAUAAAAAGUUUAAUAACCCAACAGCAACUCUAUACUUAGUGGAACCAAAAUAUCUUGAACAGUUUAACAUUAAUAAGAACUCAUCCAUCACACUCAGAGAACUAUUUCGUGCUUCGUCGAUAUGAAAUUUCGUCGAUAUGGAAUUCGUACAUGUAUCAUAUCCGGAGAGUUAUAAGAAGAAAAAUAAAACACCUACUGUCAAAAAUAAAACCACCACAAAAAACGAGGACGAGCAUUUGGAGAAAAGGAAGAAAUAGUUUUGCAUAAUGUACAAGGAAUUCCCCCCAAAACAAAAUUGAAGAAACCCAAACUGGCCACUAAAUCACAUAAAAUAAGACAAUGAAGCCCCCCCUGGUAAUACACAACUUUUUUUUAAGUGUCCCCCCCUAGUAAUAAUACACAUCUUUUUUUUUAACGUGCAAAAACUACAUUCGUUGAUCAAUCAAUCGCAUAACUAUAAGUUACACCUUGGUAACAAUGGGGGGAGGAAGAAGAACAAUGGGGACUGGUGAAGUUCAAAUAUCACUGUCCCCUCCACCACAGCAAAGGCUGCUGUCAAGAUCGGAUCGGUCUUCCGAGAAAGAUCACAAAAGAGAGUAGAUCGCAGGUUUACGCAGAUAUUGGUUCGUAAGGGAAGGAUAGCCAAGGGUGCUUCAGAGCCUCUGCCGCAGAAGGCCGCUUGUUGGGGUUCACUUCGAGCAAAUGCCUGACGAAAUCAAUGAAUCCGUGGUCCCCCAUCGGCAAUCGGUGCCUCAAUGAUGUCUUCUUCGGUACCAAAUACUCUAGCCGGUUUGUCUCCUGAAGAAUUUGAGGUCAGUUCCAGAAAUAACAGCAAGAGUUUGCAUUCAAGCUACUGAAGAAGAAUUAACAGCAAGAAUAGACAUUUCAUCUACCACACAGCCUUAACAGCACCGGAUUUUCGAUAUUCUUUAACAUGCAUGCUGAAGUUCGGAGACAUGCAUUUACUAUCUAGCUACAACAGAAAUUAAAAAGGAACAGAACAUGGCCUUACCUGAUUCCGUUCGUAAAGCAUGUGAUUUUUGGUGAAAUACUUGUAUGUGUCUCGUCCUUUAGCCAACAUUUCCUGUUCAACGGCCCCAAUGAUUCCGAUGACUCUGGCCAGAAGGGUUGCUGGUGAAUCAUUUUGGAAGAGGACCUGAAACACAUACACGUUGUCUACUUGAUACCAUCGCGCAACGAUUAUACAAAUUACUUAGACAAUCAAGUAGGAAGUACUGAUUAGCUUUUAAACUUACAUUGCCAGUACAAAGCUCUGCCAAGAUACAGCCGAGUGACCAAACGUCGAUCUUCUUAUCAUAUGGAAGGCCGAGGAUGACCUCGGGUGCCCGAUAUGAUCUAGAUUGGACGUAAGAGCAGAGGUGAUCCGUCUCGAAGCAGCUACUUCCGAGAUCGAUGACUUUCACCUCGCACCGACUGUAGCUUUUCACUAGUAUAUUUUCAGGCUUCAAAUCGCAGUGAAUAAGGCCGAGACCAUGCAAGAAUUGAAGUGCUUCCAAACACUGAAUUGUAAUUGACUGCAUUGAAUCAUACAAGGCUUAUUACCAAUCAGAGUAUGUGAAAUAUAGAAAAAUGAAGCUGAAAAUGAAACGAACCUGCAAUCUGGGCAUUGUGAAAUACACUUCUCCUCCAGAUUCUCUGUUGAAUUUAUGGAAUUCAUAUAAGUUUGCUUUGAGAAGUUCACACACAAUCAACAAAUGUUCCUGGAACGAGAACAGAAAGAUGUAGUCAUGUAGGGGACAAGAAAACCAUAAAGUAUAUCACCAUUUCUGACAUCCCCCGAAAAUAGUCAACUUCCCCGGACUCCACCACAAGAUAGAGUACGCAAAGACAAAGAUAUACUAGCAUUUCUGGCAAAAAAUGGACACGAAGAAACUGCCGCAUUUCAGAAUUAACUAGUUCGUUUUGUCUGUAUUAACCACUACUUACAACAUGGAAGCUGGUAUAGGUCUGACACUUGAAGUUGAAUGUGAAAGAUACCCAAACUUCAUAAUCUAAUAGAUUCUUUUAUUUGCUAUUAAGAUGUCAAUCUUAAAAUUUAAGUAGAGAACUCAGUAGCCUCAGGUGUGUGUUACCGCCUGAAUUCAUGACGAAAUAUCACUACGAGAGUAUCACAUAAAUGAUGCAGUAUGUAAAGUAACUUCACUUACCCGGUAGUAGAAAUAGUCGUAUAAUCUGAGAAGGUGAUACUUGUCAGCUGGAUCAUGCUUGUUCACGUAUUUGAGAAGUUUUAUCUCAUCAAGGCUCUGGUCAAAGAAAUCCUUGUUGUUUUUUAUGAUUUUCACACAGACAUCCAUGCCUGUGUGCAGAUCAUGCGCCUGAAUGGCUUUACUGAAAGCAGCUGAGCCAAGAUACUCUGUAACAUGAUAUCGCCCAGCUAACACAGAAUUUAACACAACAUGGAAGUUCUUAUCCUCCUCAAAGCCAGUCCUGAAGAAGAGACCAGCAGUUCAGUUGAAGAAGACUGUUGAAAUAAAAUGCAUUGACAUAUGAUAGGAAUUAAGGAUAAGCAAUUUCAUUGGACAAAAAAUCAUUGUCAUCUUGUUAAUAAAUAGUAAAAACAGAGCUAUCAUACCAAUACUGUUAAGAGAAUUAGAAGCACAUAAAUACAAUUUCCGAUUUUCCACUUUGGGGCUAUAUGAGAAAACAACCCAGCUGAUGAAGAAGCAGCAUCGAUAGAGAUUUUGUAUCCAAUUCCCAUACUGAAGGCGAAACAUUUCUAGUAGUUUCAAAUAUGAUUUCUAGUAGUUUCAAAUAUGUCAAAAAUCCUCACAAGCAUAAAGUAAAAGAGGCUGUAGAUAAAAGAGCAAUGGUGGAAGGAGGAAAAGAUUGAGAAAAGGAACCCAAUGACAUUGACAAAUUAGAAGAAAAUGUUUCCAACAGCUGGGAAUUUGAGUUUCAAGCAUGCAAGCAGAAAGGAGUGAAAAUCAGUAUAAGCAGACUACUUGGCUAUUAUUGCAAAACAAAGGGAGAUAUGAGAAAACAGAAUUCGAAACUAUUAACCAAUGAAACUGAAACAAUGACAUCUCAUGAUUAGCGGCUGACAACAAACAGAUAAACUUUUCAACAUAUGCUAAUUCACAUGCCUGUUUUUCCGAUGCACAAUCUUUAGGUUGAAAGUCUCAAAUUCUUCCUCCUGAGCUUUGAUCUGCCUCACUUGUUCUUGCACAGCAAUUGCUUCUUCAUCAUCAAGUGACAUCCCAGGUUCUUCCCCAGCGUCGUCAAUCUUAUCAUCCUCCUCUUUCUUAGCACGUUCUUUUUCGUUGUAUGCAUAGUUUGAAAGCGUAGAGGGAGUUGAGUCUCCAGAAACAAUAGCAUGGGCAAUAUUUUCUUCCAUGUAACUUUUCGCAGUUGAAGAACUACUACUUUUAAGCUUCAAUCCACCAAGCAUGUCAUCAGGCAACGUCAAAGCAUCCAAAUGAUCCAUGUCACCAGUUUCAUUAGCCAAAACUGUGCUAGACUUGUUAGACCACAAAGACUUGCUAGACCCUGCCUGGACCUCUUGACUAUCCCUCAAUGGUGGAGGAAAUGAAAACCCUCCAUCUUUAAGAGCUUUCAGUUGAGUAGAAGCAACUUUUUCAUUCCCAAAAUUCCCUGCAUCAUGUUUGCCGGCCCUCUUUUUAUCCUUGCUUUGUUUAUCACCAUAUUUCUUGUCUAAAUCUUGGUGACUAGCUCUAUACCCUCUAACCUCGACAUCAUGAUCACGAAAGUAUUCCAGAUCUCCUUCACUGCUACCACCAAUCAAACUAUCAUGUAUUUCACUCCCAAAAUCAGCAGCAUCGCUGUUAAUACCCACACCAAUUGAUCGAACCGAGCCAUGUUGAUCAUCAUCCAUUCGUGUCCUCCCGGAGUCAUUGUUUACUUUCCCGUCUCCUAGCAUGACUAGUUCAUUUGUUUGCGUGACAAACCCCUGCCACACAGGUUCACCACACAUCAAAUUUAGUUCUUCUUCAUCUAACAAUUGGCCAUCAUACUGUGCCAUCAAGUCAUUAUCAUGUGUUCUCCCGUAAAUUUCAGUCACUGACAGUCCAAUAGGAUCAUCUGAAGCUGUAGCAGGUUCAACAUUUUUUGUUUGGAAAGACCGCUCCCCAGAAAAGUACGAGUCUUCCUCAGCAAAAGAUUGAUCAUCAUCCUCGUCUUUUGUUGGACCCCUUUCCUGAGGGUCUGGAACGCUCCCAGUUACUGUCCCCUUCUCGUUGUCACUAGGAUAAUCAAUUUCAUGAGCCAGAAACCAGGCCUCAUCCUCUAUAGGUUGCCUCGUGUACCCGACAUCGUCAUCAUCAUCAUAUUCAUCAGAAUCCCAAUAUUGAUUAGGAUAGUCAAUAGACUCACUCAAUCCAUCACCAACUGUAGCAAAACCAGAAACUAGGUCGUCUUCUGCAAUUCCCUGACUCACGGACAGCCAGCUGCCUCCGGCUAUUCUUUUUCCAGCUGAAUCGUCAACUACAAGGAACAUUCCAAAGUAAAUAACUCAAAUGCCAUAAAGCGAUUCAACAAACUAACAAGAUUGAGAGCCUUUGGCCAAACUUUGUAAACCAUUUCUCAGUUGACUGAAACUGAACUGUUCAAAUUGAGGACCUCUCAGAUGAUAACAGUUGGACAUGGUAUAGACCAUGGAAAAUUCCAAACUGUAUGCUUGAAAUGGUAUAGAACAGUUCAAAAACUAACAAGUCUAGGUCUUAGAUGAUAAAAGGAUCAGCUGAACAUGGUUUAUACCAACACCUCAGUAACUACGAGUCAGCUACUGGUUGACUAGUGGGGACGUAGACUAAACACAGGUCUUUCACAAUCAUGACGUCCAUCUUACUCAGUGGAAAUUAUAAAGCAACAUGACUGAAUACGAAAAAUUCGGUUGCAUGUAAAAGUAACAGUUGUAUACCUAAACAAUUAUCUUCAGUACUGCAUCCAAUUGAAAAGCAGUUGGCCCAAUUGUAUACUAACCUGAAGAGUUGAUUUCCUGUCCAAUAGGAACGUCAAGAUAUGACCCUAUCAGAAAGGAACUAUCACCACUGCUAAGCUUUGCCCCUUGCUUAUCACGCUCAAACUUCUCCUGCCAGUUGGCAUUCAAUAAUUUGUCUUCUGACUUUAGUCUAACGGGCGGAAGUCUCGGAUAGUCUUCUUUAUGAUUCUCAGCCGCAAUAGUAAACCCUGAAGAGCUUAAAUUCUUCGGUUCAAUACUUCCUUGUGAGUUCCCAAAGUACAAAGCUCUGCCAACUUCAUCUACCUUUUCUUUAAUGGCAGCCCUUACAUCAGGCACAUCUGCUUUCUUAUUCCCUUCCUUCUUAUCUGAUGACGUGUCAUAACUAGUAGAUCCAUCCAGAAUGGAGAACGGAAGAACAGUCUUCACAGAACAAUUUUUCCAUAUGUCCGCAGAAGAACUUGUUGGCUGCUCAGUUACUGACCAUGGGUUGUCAGCAGGAUAAGAGACAGUUGUUUUAACUUGCUGACCAAACUCUAUCGGAUCACUUGUCUGAAUUUUGCUAUUUCUAGAAUCAGGGAUGGAUGAACCACUGCUGCUUUCCUGCCAUGCAGUUUUCUUUACACCUGAGAAGGUAGCCUCCUCUCUAGAUUUCCCUUCUGUUCUACCAGAGUAGUUGCUUGUAUUAGCUCUAUCAUUCUGAUAAGCAUUAGGACCGUUGUUAGCUAUGGACUUCCACGAAUACAAAUCUAAGACGGUAUCCCCAGAGUCUGUGCCAUCGAUUGUUUCAUUAGGUUUGACAUUACGGUCGUCAGCAGAAGCAGAACUUUUCCAUCUACCCUCAGACCCAUUUCCGUGAGUGCUGCAGUCUAUCUCUUUCACUAUAAGUUCUUUAGAAUCCUCACAACUAUCUCGGGAACCAGAGCCCUGAAAUUUAGCAGCUGGUUUGUUACUCACAUUCCUUUCCUCUAUGACUUCCCUCGCUUCCUUGUCAUCAAGACUAAGUUUCUGCAAGAACCCAUUUAGGUCAGGUUGAACGCCAAGCUCGCUCCUUAACGCUGCCUCAGCUCUAGUGAACCGGUUUCUCCGCAAGAAGUCAAGGAUCACGUCAACCGAAUUUGUGUCCGCCAUAACCUACAGUUGGGAACUCCUUACCGAAGACGCUACAAAGAAGAAACUGCCACGCCUGGCAAAUAACAGGAUGUAAUAGUGAGAAACUUUUAAACCACUGCAACCAUAUUCAAAUACUCAGUGUUCCAGCACAAUUUCACUUUUCAUUUGAAAGAUAAUGAAGCAAGUAUGUAGAUUCAUAGAACAAGAAGCAAGAGAAGCCAGUUCAUAAUCCCCACAUAACGCAUUUCUUCUAUCUAAAACAGCUAAUAACAAAAGAGAGGAAUACGGCUCAAAAUGACUAAAUGAAGAAAAUUAAUAAGCACAUGCACACACACGCCCGCAUUUGAAGAAACUCUCAAUGCAAACCCUAACAUUAAAAAAAAAAUCCCACAGAGCAGGUGAUGCAAUGGGAUCCAAACUCCGGAACCAGAAAACCCUAACAACUUGAGCUGUAUCCAAAACCAAUGAGAAAUCUCUGGUUAAGCAAAACAGAACAGAAGUAGACCCCGCCCCUCAAACUCCAUUUGGAAAGAAAGCAAACGAGAAUUUCACACAGAUUCAAAACUACCAAACAGAGAAGGAAAUGAAGACGAGGAAGAAGUGGCACUCACAGAUCGAAACGGCAACGCUGAGAGGAGGAGCUGUGUGGAGUGAAGAUUUCAUAGCUGGACCAGGAGAGAAGAAGAUAGCCAGAAGAAGAACGCAGCAGAAAUUGAUUACGAGAUGGCAAUGCUUCGAUUUUGCAUUUGGGGAAGAUUUUCGUUUCUUUUUAUUUUUUCUAUUCCAAAGUUUUAAUUAUUUUUCGGCCUGCAGGACAAUGACUCGAUGAGGGGGGGGGGGGGGGGUGGGGAAAAGGGGAGGGGGUGUUUGGUGUUUUUUGUUUUUUGUUUUUAUUUUUGUACAUGAUUUAUGUAGUUGUUUUUUUGUAUGAGCUCACACAAGUAAUGAAACCAGACCAACAUGCAUCAUUUUAAUUAACAUAAGUUUCAGAUUUUUUGGUAAGCGAUAUAUUUAUUCAGUAGAGUUGUUAGCUGGUAAUUUGACGGAAUAAGUUUGAAUUUAGUAACACAUACCUUAUGUAUGUAAUGUUUAUUUUUUUUUAUUUCAGAGAAACAAAAUUUAUUAUGUUAUUCAAUCGAUGGAGGUAUGUGAAUAAUGUAACACAUAUUGUGCUAGAUAACAAAGAAAGUUAGUUACUCGAUCCAAAACCAACACAUGCCAAAAGAGGGGAGAUGAGCAAAGGGAGUUAGAAAAUUGAAUAAGGGUUGUACUAUAUCCACAUUGAUUGUGAAAUGCACAUUGUUAAAAAAAGCUCUUGGAAAAUGAAUCUUUUCAUUUAACUCUACAAUGUUCGAUUCAAGGACUAGCAGAGUUCAUCGCCUUUACAUUCUGGAUCAAGUCAAUCAAAUCAAUCAAUCAAUCAAUUAGACCCACAUUUCACUAUGCUUUGCUAUUUUCCUACCACUUCAAGCGAGAGUUAGUGAGAACCCGGCCCGGCAUCACUUCUUUGUGUGUUCUUCCUAUCAUCUAACCACGUCUGAACCGCCUACUCAACCUGCAAAACAACCCUAAUUCAAGUCGGAGCCUUCGAUGGACGUGUUAACUAUUCCUGCAUUUGCUGCUUUUCCCCGAAUCAAGCCGGUGAUUGUAUAUCCCCUUUGCAGAACCGCCAUGAUCCAUCGUCUUGCCUUUUCAGCACAUAGUGAACCCUAUACUUGCUGCAAUCAAUUUCACCGUUAAAAAUCCAUCCUGUUAUGCAAUGGAGCUUGGCAGAUGUUGCAUAUAAUCUCAGUUGGGAUAGUUUACCUGUGAUAGUUUGGAUUCUUUUGCUCUGUCUCGUCAACAAGCUCCGCUACUUCCUCAAGGAGAGCUUCAAUUUCAGCCAUUUCCAUGCCAAAUCCAUCAGAGACAAUGUCAGCUUUCAGGAUGGACAGGUCGAGCAGAACGAACCUCCAAUAGCAGGAUUUGGCUUGAGCUGCAUCAGCCAAAGCUUGAAACUGCAAUUCAGAAUAACGGAACUCAAAACAGUUAACCGAAUGGCCUGGAAGAGGACCAAAACUGUUCAUUUGAUUUUGGUUAAUUAUCUGAUUUUGACACGGACUUACCUGAUCAAGCAUUGAUUCAGCAAGCAGUUCAGUAAGGAUAUGGAGUUGAUGUCCAGAGCCCAGUGCUUCAGCUUUAACAGUUUGCCAUUGUCUAACCAGCACUUCAGCGUCUUCAAAUGGCAUCUGCUUCCUAGAUAAUGCUCUAGCAGACGAUAAUGAGUUCUCUGAUGAUGUCCUAGUCUGCGGAAACUUGUAAAAUUGUGUUUUAACUGUUGCUGACAGCUUCUUCAUUCUGUUACUAAUGCUGCCACAUUCUCCAGAUAACGAGCUAUCAGCAAUUUGCUGAUUGAAGGCAACAUUCGGAGUUGAUCCUCUUAGACUCCUGAUUGAUAGUUUUGAGGUUAUAUAAACAAUGCAACCCAGUACACAAACAAAAACGAUCUUCCCAGCCAGAGUUUCCGAUGUGAAAUCAGAAAAUGGCCUUUGAGCGACAACCCGUUUGGAGGACUUAUGAUACUGUACUUUACUUCUAUCACUUUCAGUUCUCUUCUGACCAGAGAAAAAGUUGACCUGGAAAACUGGAAGUUAGCCAAGAAUUGGUCCUCCUCCUUGUCACAUUGAAUUCUAAUGACACAAUACUCACCAGUGAUGGUGAACAAUCUCUGGUAUCUGAAAAUGCAGCAAGCACGGAGUCCUUAAGCCAUGUUUCCUGGUCAAGUUCAGCAGGAUUUCUGACAUAAGAAAGCAAGUAAAUGCUCAAAUAAUGCAUCAAGAGAAUAAACUACAUGCCUGCAGCACCUUCAUUAAUGGCAGAUCCUAUACAAAACUAAAUAGCAUCUUCUAAAGCACAAAAUUUUGAAAAACCCUAAAAGAUCUCCUUUACAAUCCUCCCCUUCAACUACAACUUCUUGCAUGGAGUAUAUGAAGCCUACAUGCCACCUGACACUACCACAUCCGGAACUCACGUAACGGAGAUGUCACUACCAUAUUGUGCAGAUACAGCCAGACAAAUUAUACAUAGGCACCAAACUUCUAAUAAUGUGCAUGACCUAGCUUCAUAUUAGUUCAAGCUUCAUUAUGUACUAAACAUCAAAUUGACGACAGACAACCAGCACACACGUCAAAAAUAUAAUAACUACAUACUAGAGACAACUUCACAGUCUUUGCAUCAUUCUUUUCCUUCCCCAAAGCUAAACUCCAUGGAGCUGGAUUUGUAUUCAAUUCUACUUGUUGAAGCUUUUCGACCACCAGCGCCUCAUUACCCUGAUAAUUGGUAUGUCAAUAUCAGAAAAAUAAUAAGAAAGAGGGACGAGAGUCCAAACACGAAGAAAGAAAAAGCAAUGAACAUCUAAGAACCAAUAAAAUUUGAAAAAGAUUCAGGAUCUGUCAGUGUGUUGCAGAAAUGACAAAAAACAACUGAAUUGUACCUCGGCCAGAAGAAAUAAGCACAAUGCUUCUUCCAACUUUAGAUCAAUACCUUCUGAUGCCAUCAAAGCGCCACAUAUAUCCUUUGCUUUAUUAAUCUAAGGGACGGUAAGAUGAUCAGUAUGAAAUAAUAAAGCUUUGACAGGCCACACAAAAGUAAUGUUUGUACCAAUUUUGUCUGCUUGCUAGAGAAACCCAGAGCAAUAUGAGCUAUCAGUGCCACAUAGAAACAGCUGAAGUCAAUCACAGCCCUUUGGGUAUGUGAUUCAACUGAUUUUUUGUUUUUCCGAGUAAGGGCUAACUCAUCCCAAGGACAAAGAUCAACUAUUUCUGUGGCCCUGAGCCGGUUAAGAGCUUGACUUAAGAAGCACGGCCAGCCUUGGACUCUACAUGAUACUUCCACAUCAAGGCCUUGUCUGAGUAACUCACGCAAUGCCGCUAUUGCUCCUCGUCUCCUUUCAGCAUUUUCAGGAGAAUGAGGCAUACCUAAUAUCUCCAGUGUGCAAGCAGGCGCAAGCUCCUCCAGGGAUUCUUCUAUCUGAAAGUCAUAUCAAACAAUAUUUUACAGCAAGUAGGCAAGAUGUUUAACAAACACUAGUAUGCAUUACCUCAGCCAGCAAACCCAUCUUCCCGAGAGACGUCUUACUCCUAAGUAGACACUGAGCACGAGCAAGCGCUUCAAAUCCAAGGGACACUUUAUUGUUCUCAAAACCGAUCUUUGCUAUCGCACACUUCAAUAAAGCAACAGAAAUUAGAAACACAUCAUACAAAGUAUUGCUACUUAAUAGAACAGUGGACUCCAAAAGUUGUUUACUUCUGCCAUUGCCAUUGAGAGAAGUAUGUCAUGGAUAUAUGGCUUAGCAUCCGGUUUCUUGAUCACCAUUCUGCCAAUUUCAAGUACUAACUUCUCUUCGCCAACCUACACAAUGAGAUAUAAAAGUACCUAAGAUUCAUAUAACGGAACAUUUGUCUGACUACAGUGCAAUUAUGCAAAGCCAGGAAGCACUUAAGUUAAUAUCUAGCAGCUAUACCCCAGCCAGCACAAAGAAAACACCAAAUCAUAUAAAAGUGUUAAAACCUCUUGAAGAAGGCAAAGAGCACCAGGUAGCCACGUCCAUGGAAUGUAAAGAGAAGACUUUGGACGGAUCUUCUCCCGCACAUUUCCAGCAUAUUCGUCUUCGAAAAGAAGUUUAGCCCUCACAUCCUCUAGAAGAUCCUGCAUAUUAGUGUAGAGCACAAUUAGGGAAAAGAAAGCCCAGAAAGAUUCGGAACCUCCUCACAGAACAACGAACUAAGCGCACAUCUACCUCGCGACACUUCUUGACAUUCGUUGUAUAUCCUUCCUCUAUCUCCGCUCCUUUCAAUUGGUUCAUCGAUUUAGCUACCUCGUCUUUCUCGGCUUGAUCGCUUAGGCCAAGCAGCUACAGGUCAGCAAUUUACCAUGAAUUCAGUAACAUGUACUUCCGAAGUUCAGUAUAGCUGUGAUUUUCCAUGAAUUAUCAGCCCACUGCUGCUUUCAAGGCAUUUCUACAUUACCUCACAACUUCUAACCAAUACGGAGGUCAAGAAAACGAUCACGUCGGCUAAAAUUACUCUCUCAUUUCACCUCGCUGCUACAAAAUGUAAACCAACUCGGACUAUACAGAGAGAGAGAGAGGGAGAGAAUCGACCUGAUAGCAGGUGACCGGAAUUUCCAUAGAAGCGGCGGAGGGAACGGCGGCAUUGUCGAUGACGGGAGUGGUGGCGGCGGCGUUGAGCAUCCAUUGGUACAAAGCUUUCCUUCUCCAAACCCUAGAAACGGAAGCAGGAGUGGAGAUGAUCGGAUGGAGGGCGAAAUCGACGAGAAGUUGAUGCGUAGGACGGGCGUUGCGCCGGAGAAGGCGGAAAUGUUUACAGCGACAGCAGCAGCAAGAAGAAGAAGAGGAAGAAGAAGGAAGAAUUGGCGUCAGAUUGAAGUGUGGAACCGCCAUGGUCAGAUUGCUUGGAAGAACUCUACCACCAUUGCAAAAGUAAAGAAGAAAUGUGUGAGAGCUUUGGAACAGUUUCAGAAGAAAAGCAAUAAAUUGCAAUCCGAAUUCCGAAAGAAAGGGAGAGUGAAGGAGAAGGGAUUUUUGCUUUUCUUCAGCCCCGUUGGGUGACGCCGCUUUCCGUGCCGUUGCUUUUUCCGUCUUCCGUUUUCCGUUUCGAAACGCCAGAUAACUUUAUUGGUCACUGAGCUUUAGAGUGUUUCACCCAUCGGUCACUAAAAUUCAAAAACUAUCCAAGCAGUAACUCAACCAUCAAGUUUUAAGCUAGUGGUCAUCUCCGUCAAUAGACAUCCAAUUUUCAUUCAAAAUAGUAUAUGAUAGUGCUAACUUGGCAAAACAACUAAUAAAAGAUAUCACAUCAUAUUCAUUUAUUUUAAAUCACAAAUUUAUACGUGUUGGAAUCAAUCCACACCAUGUUCUUUUCUCUUUAAAUUUAACGACACUAACCCUAACCUCUAUUCAUCCUCACCAUCUCUGAUCUCUCCUUUGUCACUUUCGCCGUCCAUGCAGCUCAUUACCUCUUUCUCAUUCGACAACCAGUGAGUAGAUAAAAAUUUAAAGAUUUUAUUGAUUUUAAAUCAAAAAGAUUAACAGUAAAACUUCUAAAAUCUCCACUCAAAUAUUAAAAUUCCAGUGGUGGUUCAUCAGCAAGAUAUGCCAUAAAGACCGGAAAACGUAUAACAAGAACCAACUUUGUGUUUAUUAUACAAGUUUGUAGUAAUAUUCGAGUCAAAAUUCCUUUAACAAUAAAGAGAAUCUUUAGGAUAAAUCGCUUUCAGUUGUAAUUUUCAUUUUAGAUGAUAGAUAUCGAUGAGAAAAAUACUUAAAAACAUUAAUUUGGCCACAUUCACUUUUCAUUGUUUGAUUGAUUUUUAAUUAAGAUUCUUCAUAUCUUAGCUACAAGAUGUAUGUAUCAUGUAUUAUGAUCAAGCUGUCGUUAUCUACUUAUCUAAGAAAAGAACAAAAAACACCAUCAAUCAGCAAUACAAACUCCAAGCCAAAAGAAGCCUACAAAUCAAGAGAGAGCUAGCUGCCCCCAUCCGCACAAGAGAUGUAGGACCAGAACGUCGGUACAUAUAGCUUGUUUGUUUACUCGUAAAGAAAAAUGAUUCCAUCCUGAGAAAUGAAGAAACUAUUAUUGCUGUACUUUUGUCUCCGACCAGAAACUUUUCAGUUAUUACAAACAAAAACUAGACAGCAGCCUGAAGAGUGAAGGCCCCAUGGAAAUGACCUUCCAGCGCAGAGAACACAGCAAAAUCCUGUGGAGGAGGAUAACUGGCCUUACGACCAAACUGCCAAGGUGACAGCGCAAAUGUUCAAUUGGAUCAUCAAGAGAUCUAAAAGUAAUUCAUACACAUGCAAACUAACCGUCAACACAUGACAAUUAUCAUUAUUCCAAAGCUUUAACUGAAACUAGAAAAAAAGUAGAAUUAUUCUUCAAUCUUCACCCAACUGUUGUUACACUACAACCAUGGCUAUCUGCUCCACAGCGUUGACUAAUUCUUGGGCGAGGUCAUCUUUCUUGCUUCCUACAACGCCAUUCUCGUCAUAGCUUGAGAUCUGAGGUUGUGGCAUGAUGUCCUUUACGAAUUUGUUUUGCAUCUUUUCUCCAUAGUUGGAAAUUUGAGGUUGCGACCUCAAAUCCUUUGCAAAUUUAUUCGGUAUAGCAUCAUCGUCGUAGUUGGAGAUUUGAGGUUGUGACUCGAUGUCUCUGGCGAAUCUCCCAUAAGUACCUUCUUCAACCUUGCUUAGCUUGAUACCGUUGUCAUCAUAGCUCGAAAUUUGAGGUUGUGGCAUGAUGUCCUUCGUGAAUUUGUGCUGAGCUCCAUAGCUAGAGAUUUGAGGUUGAGACUUGAUGUCCUUCACUGUUGGGUUGGUCCAACUACAUAUGGUGGUUGGAUUAACCGGUUUUUUAAGAAUGAGUGAUAAUUUGUUUGGUUGUGUUAUCUUGAACUUAUUGGGAAGUUCAAAAGUAGUAUUCUAGAAAUCUCUAUUAUUAAAUAGAGAGAUUAUUUAUCUCUGAAAUUACAGAGAAGAAAGUGAAGCGUGAGUGAGAGAGCAAAAGAAGAGAGGAGAAGGAAAAAUAAGGUUGCUGGAAAGUUUUCGUUUUCAGGCGGAUCAGUCUGUUCAAAAGAGCAUUCCGGAGAAACACGCCGUUGGAUCGUCCUGAAAUUUGUUGUGCUUGUUCAGGACGUUUUGGGCUUCAAUCUGGCCGGAGGGAUCGUUGUUCUGAUCUCUGGUGUGUCGGGAAUCGCUGCUGGACAGAGGGUCAAUAAAUCUGUUUGGCCUCUGGAAUUUUUUCUCUUCAUCUUGUCGAGUUGCUCUUGUUAUCCAUCGCAUUGGUGAGUAUCCAUUGUGGUGUAUUGGUGAUCCAAGAAGGUUGUUCUUGAGGUAAUUUGUAAUCCUCUAGCUAUCCUAGAGAAGACUUGUAAUCCCACCAAAGUAUAGUGGAGUUGUUGCUUGGACUACGGUCCCGUGGUUUCUCAACAUUCACAAAGUUUUUUGACGUAGUAUCAUCAUCAUAACUGGAGAUCUGAGGUUGUGACUCGAUGUCUCUGGCGAAUCUCCCGGUACCUUCUUCAACCAUGCUUAGCUUGAUACCAUUGUCAUCGUAGCUCGAAAUUUGAGGUUGCGGCAUGAUAUCAUUCAUGAAUUUGUGCUCGGGUCCGUACCUAGAGAUUUGAGGCUGCGACUUGAAGUCCUUCACGAACUUCUUUGAUGUAGCGUCACCAUCAUAGCUAGAGAUCUGAGGUUGCGACUUUACGUCCUUCACAAACUUAUUUAAUGUAGCAUCACCACCAUAAUUAGAGAUUUGAGGUUGUGACCGGACAACUCUAACGAAUCUCCCUGUAUCAGUACCUCUCAGUUGAUGCCUGAUACCUUGUUCAACCUUGCUCCGCUCGACACCGUUGCCAUCAUAACUCGAAAUUUGAGGUUGUGGCAUGACAUCUCUCACAAACUUACUAGAUGCAUGAUUAACUCCGUAGCUAGAGAUUUGAGGUUGCGACUCGAUAUCCUUCACCAACUUUUUUAAUGUAGCAUCAUCAUCAUCAUAGCUAGAGAUUUGAGGUUGUGGCAGAACAUCUCUUGUGAAUUUCAUCUCAUGGCUUUUAGUACUGAUAGAUUUGUGAUCAGCAUCCCCUGCCUCCUCGGCAUCACAAUGAACUCCGGUGUGGUCGGAGUUCGAUGGUAGUACGGUGGGCUCCUCGACUACUAUCAGGGAUUCGAUAGCUUCAGGAAAAGGCUGGUCUUUCAUCACGGCUCCCCAGUACUCCCCGGCUCGAUCUUUCCUCGCAUUACUGCAGUUGCCAGCUACCUGCAACAUUAUUCAACAGUUACAUUAUAAACGUUACAAGAAAGCAAAAGCAGAGGAAGAACAGAAGGGUACGUACCAGGAAGAGUAGGGCGAGAGUAGUUAAGAAAGCAGCCAACUGAGAUGCCAUAUUUUUAGUUAUUUAGUUCAAUGAAUUGGAAUAUUGGAUUGGAUCCUCUGAGAUGAUUUAGGUGCAGGGUAUUUUAUAGGCUGGAGAAAAUAGAACCAUGUCACGGUUUCCAAAUUCCACCUACUACUCCACCUAUUUGUCCAACGUUUUAAGUGGACACAAACUCUGCGCAAUGUACUAAGCCGGACAUCAUCAACUCGAGUUGUGUGAUCGCGAGUGUUUGAAGUGCCAUUACAUCAUGAGCUAAUCCAUUUUAUUGUGGGGCUGAGAGGAUUAUUAAUUCUAUUAACUUUUGAUGUUAUGAGGAGAAUUCAAAAUCCUUAAGGACAAUUAAAUUUUUUAAAUUAAUUAGCUCGGAUUUAUCGUACUCUUCUUUCACCUCGCACGUUGAUGUUCUUGUUCAUGCAUGUUUAUCUUUUACAACAAUGUAUAUGGACAUAACAUAAUUUUUUUCCCCUGGUGGAUAAUUCCUUGUUGUCAUCAUAGAAUAAAAAGAUUCGGGUGUGAUUCUUAAUUAAAACAUUAAAAAGCUGGGGUGAUACUGUUUAUUAUUGUUAUUUUUAAAUAUUAUGUUUUUCGUUUUAGUUUUAUUUUUUUAGUGUUUAGGUACUUUUUAAAUUAUUAUUUGUCGGUGCAGUUACAGGUAUAAUUGAAAAUCGCUUGAAAACUAACGGAUGUGGAUAUGGUGUGACAUUUACUAUCCGAAAGUUAUAUACGACAAGUAUUACCCUAACCGGAAACUUCAACGCGUGGUUAAUGGAUAUCUCAACUAUCUGANNNNNNNNNNNNNNNNNNNNNNNNNNNNNNNNNNNNNNNNNNNNNNNNNNNNNNNNNNNNNNNNNNNNNNNNNNNNNNNNNNNNNNNNNNNNNNNNNNNNNNNNNNNNNNNNNNNNNNNNNNUUUUUUUUUUUUUUUUUCGGGCGGUAUUACCCGAACCUGAAACUAAAAAUGAUGGGUAACGAAUAUCAACUAUCCAAACCUGACCAUUGUCAAGUUUACCUCAAUUUUAAUUUUCCCUAUAAAUCUCUUUAUACAAUUUUUAGAAUAAAAUUUUCUAUCAACAUUAAUUUUUUUAGUUGAAUAACAUCAAUAUUGAUAUANNNNNNNNNNNNNNNNNNNNNNNNNNNNNNNNNNNNNNNNNNNNNNNNNNNNNNNNNNGAAAUAACAUCAAUAUUGAUAUAUUUUAUUGAAAUAUAUAUGUAAAUUUUACAAUGAUGUACUGUGAUAUCAACAGUCUUGGGCACCAAUUAAGUAUUCGAUCAUAAUCUCAACAGAUAUAUUAAGUUUAUAAUUAUUAUUAAUGUAUUAAGUUAGAGAAAUCAAUUUUAAGACCCGUAGAUAUAAGUACUCUUCACUUUUUUCUAAUUGUUUUUACGAGCACUUUUUUCUAUUUGCUACAAUCAUAUAUUUACAUAAUUUUGCUUCAUCUUUAUAUGCAUAAAUUUAUUAAUUUUUUAAAUCCAUACUACUUUUAUUUACCUUCUUAUAUGUAUAAUUAUGUAGUUAUUUAUUAUUUUAUGUAUGGGUGCUCAAUGUCAUACCAACUUCAAUUUAAAAUUACGCGACAUCGUACAACCAUCUAAGCUAGUUAAUAUGAAAAAGGUAAUCACUAUAAUCAUGCAAAAUUACAUGCUAUAACUUAAAACGUCGGUAUGUUAUCGAAACUCGUAUAUAUUUAUGCUAGUAAUUAAUCUUACAACGUUGCUACAGAUAGAGCAUUUCACCUUGUCGUGUUGUUGUCACGUUUAACACAUACGUCUUUAAUUUGUGUCCUUGUUAAUGUUUCUUUCUAUUGUACGACCACGUUCUUAAAUGUCUCAUACAAAGGACGAAAGAGAAUUGAGCAUUUGGUGCCUUGGUGGUGGUGAUGAACGUAUGAUCAAACAACAGGACUGCACGUGGAAUGUAAUAGACAUAAAAUCAGUCCGUCUAUUUUCCCGAUCAGACAUAAGUUAGUUACCUCAAAUAACGGAAGCACGUUAUCAUAAAGGUCACAUCGUCCACCCACCAUGUAACAAGCCUAGAUGCACAAUCCAUGACCGCCUGUCCCCAACAAGUCCAUCUUCUCCUUCUCUCGCCGACCUUGAUCAGAUGUUUGUUUGAAAAUUGGUUGGGUAGUCGGGGUGUGGAUAACGAGGCCACCCUGCCAUUUAACAAAAUUGGCAAUUUGGGUGAGAUAACCUGCGUAAGUACUCGCUAAAACGCUCUUAACUCUGGAGCUUUGAGGACGACUAAGUAAAUUAUAGACUACCCGGCCAGGUGGAUUAGGUGCAGCUUCAACUACAAGUUCCGCUAAGAUCCUCCCACUUUUGUCAGUAUACGAUCACUUUGGAAGCAGCUCUUUUUUGUAUUUCUUAAUAAAUAAAGAAUAGUUUAUACAUGGCCUAUACAUUGUAAACUAUGUAUAUUGAGUUAUGUAAUUGUAUAAAUUUUAAUAUUAUGGUGUUAUUUUUUAUUUUGUUUAGAGUUAAAUUUUUUAUUAUAUAAUUUUUAUUUUGGGUAUAAACAAAAUACUUUUUUAGCCAUUUUUCUGGCCGCUCUAGAACUGGGUUGAAUGUUGUUUUUACUUAUUUAUAAGUAUGAAAAAAAAUUCACCUCAUAAUUAAUUUUUGGUAUGGAAAGGUUUAAUAACAUCCAAUAUAUUACUUUUCAAUCAAAAUUGAAAUGUAGAGUACAGACUGUAUUUGAAGAACACCAACUAUAUAUAAACCAGCAGCAAGAUAAAAGUAAUUAAGUAGAACAACCCAUUAAUUUAACAAGAUUUUCAUCACUACAUAUAAAAAUUUUGGUGGCAUUAAUUAGCUCUUAUUCCCAUACAUAAUUGAUAUAUAGUAUACCAAUCAAUUUAUAACCAUAUGUGUAAUUAAGUAACACUAGCUACCUAGCUAGCUAUAAAUGUUACACGUAUACCUAUACGUAACCCCCCAUGCAUGCAAAAAUCAAAUUAAGCAUUGUUAGGAGCCUUGACGAACUUAACAACAAACGGCUGAUCAUCAGUAGUAAGAGCAAGCCUCUUCUUGCCAUCUUCAUCCUCAUAAACCCCAACAUCCUUACACUGGACUUUACACGACUUGCACACAGAAGGACAAUACACAAGCUUGUAGUUCCCGCCGUAUUUCGCAAUCUUAAACCAGUUCUCCACCGUCCUGGGCCCGGGCUUCCCUUCGAUCCCACCCGUCCCUACGAACCACUGCUUGACGUCGUCGUCGUAGCUCUCCACCUUCCACACCGUGGCCUCGUCACAAGCAGUCUCGGUGGUGAACUCGAUGUUGAGGUCGGUGGCCGUUUGAACGGUGUAGCCCGGCUUGGCGGAGUUGACGGGAAGGAAAACUACUGGGAGACCCUUGGACAGCUCGUAGUCGUCUUGGAAUACGGAGAGCGGGCAUUUCUUGGUCUUGGUUCGGUCUAGAGCCACUCCUCCGCCGUUUCCGGAGACGGAUGGGAGGAUGAAGUACUUGAGACCCGACCGGAGGGGAGUUCCGUCCACGUCGGUGACGGGGACUGGAGAUGCGGCGGAUGAAACGGGGAGUUUUGUGGUGAAGGUGGCUAGGACUAUGAUGAAUGAAGAUAGUAGUAGCAUUGUCGCCUUCAUUGCUCGUUAAUUUCUCUUUGGUUUGUUUCUUGGUUGAGGGUUUGAGUUGUGAGAUGUUCAGUGAAGGGAGUUCGUGAUAUUUAUAGGGGAUUACAUUAGUCGCCUAUGUGGGAAAUUGCACGGUUUAGUCCAAUUGGUUGGAAUUGGACCAAUAAAGAUUGGUAAUUAAAGACUAAUUAGUGAACUAGCUAUAGAUAGGGUUUUUCUUUUGGUUGGCCCAAUUCCAUUAUUAAUAUAUUUUUAGUGCGAUUUAAGCAGUAUUAUGAGAAGACCAAUCUAAUUUUUAAUUAUUUUGGUUGGUUUGGUUAUGAAAAAAAUCCAAGUCAAAGUUGUUCAUAGCUAAAAGAGUCAAAAGUCCAAACCGAAUUGGGGUAGAGUCAUAUAUUGAACGAGUGUUAUUCUCCCAACCUUGUUUUUUUGAGCGCAUAUAACUCCCCUUCACCGUUGGAUUAAUGUCAUGAUGCUUGAUCUGUCUGUUUCGAUCAAAACCCAUCAAAAUGGUGGUAGAUACAUCCUGGAGUUGUCAUCAUCCUAAGCUACCUUUAAUUCAAAGAAAUAUUACCUAGUAGCAUUCAUUACUAAUAUAUAUGAGGCCGUAAGUUUUUGUAAAAUGUUGGAUCAAGUUUGAACGAUUAAAGUUGAGCACAUUUAUCGAAAAAUACAACAAAGUAACAUAUUACCUUGCAAGCAUUGGCUAAUUUCAGCCCAUUGGUGUUCAUAUUCGUACUUUCUAACCUAUUUUAUCACAUUUUAAUGUAUAUUUCGAUAUUUUUAAAUCCAAUUUUAUUCUGAAUGAAAGAUAUUUAACGGACUAAUCUAAUCUCCUGACAUGUUGUGGGCCGAACAAGAAUUGUGAUAUUAUUUUAUGGGCCAUUUACAUAUUUGUUUGGCAGCCCAUGUACACUUCUUUCGGCUAUAAAUCAAUGGUCCAGCUUAAAUAGGCCUUCUCCACUAUGUGCGUGCAAAUCAUAUGUGUAAGCCCAAUAUGUACUGGAUGUAUACUCGUAUAUACUAAGUCCAAAUUUCCAGGAAAAAAGUAUAAACUAGUCGGCCACAUGAGAAUAUAUUAUGGACCAAAAGGAUCAAAAAAGAAUCUGACGUGGAAAUCGUGGACCCCAUCCGCGCCGAUUCCGGGUCAUACAUCAAACCUCUCAAAUUUGCCAUUUGGUCCUCUCUAUUCCUUUGUGCCGACAUUUAAUGGGCUGCCGGAUAAUCUUUUGAUAUUCUUUAAUUUCCGUGUUGUAAUUUUGUUCCACUGAAAGAUCUUCUUUAAUAUUCAUUUCUGGGGGUUUUUAGACAGGCCUGCAAUUUCAACGACAAAAAAUGCGCUGGUGAUCAUUCGGGGCGUUUUCUAUUCUUCUGCGUGAUCAACGCCAAUCCUCAUUCGCCUAUCCGCGGGAGAAACAAAGUUCCACAGGAUUCUGAUUAUCAGGUAAUUUCUUCUACCACUCUAGCUUCUUUCGGUGUUGUGUAGAAAUUGGCUUCUUACUGUAGAGGAUGACAUAGUAGAAUUGCUAACUCCCUUUUUGGGGGUUUCCACUGCUCCGUUACUCUUUGAUAUUUGCGGUGUUGACAGUUGACCGUGGAAUUUUGGCGUUGAAGUUUUCCUGCUCAAGAAAGGCCUGCUAUGUCUGGUCCGCUCGAUCGGUUCGCAAGGCCUUGUAAGUCAUUUGCUUCUCCGCUUCCUCUUGCUAUUAUGGCUCUUUUGGCUUGCUUAUGGUCCAGAAGUUAUGGUAGUUAGUCUUUUUUUUUUAACAUUUUACUACUUGUGAGCUAGGGUGUUGACCUGUUUGUCAGUCUGUCAGUUAGGGUGUAGGUUGUUGCCUAUUUUUGCUGAUACAGUCUGAUUUUUUUAUGUACUGAGUUUUGAUUAUCUGUUUUGAACAAUUUGUUGCUACCAUUUGGCUUGCAUUGUUCAAUGUGAUGAACAUUAUGCUCUUGGCAGGCUUUGAGGGGUUUUCAGGCGGAGAUGAAAGCAGAGAAGAGAGGAGAGAGAGGCGAGAGAGGAAAUCUGAUUUUGAGAACUCUGAGGAUGAAAGGAGAACGAGGAUUGGCUCACUGAAGAAGAAGGCCCUUAAUGCGUCUACCAAGUUCAAGCAUUCGCUUAAGAAAAAAAGUAGUAGACGGAAGAGUGCUGAUGGCAGGAUUAGUUCUGUUUCCAUUGAAGAUGUGCGCGACCUUGAGGAAAUGCAGGCUGUCGAUGCAUUUCGUCAGUCGCUGAUCAUGGAUGAAUUGCUUCCUGAAAGACAUGACGAUUAUUACAUGAUGUUAAGGUGAGCUGGCCUCUUCUCAGUUGCUUCCAUAUGUCAUGGUAACUGUAAGUUUGUGUUCCGAUAGCGCCUCAUCAGUUUAGCAGUUUAAGAGCCAAUGGUAUUUGAGCAUCGGAUUGACUUUUUUUUCUUCUUAUAAUGUUAUGUCUGAUUAUCUAUGCAUCCAAUGGAUUAAUGUGCUUGCAUUGUCAUGUUAUAUUCUUUCUUUGAAGAUACUGGUACCAUCUGCAUUCAACUUUGUUGUCAGCUUCUGUUGCUUGUUUAUGCUACUCUGUUUUCUCUAUAAUAUGGCAUUGAUAAGCUCGAUACCACUUGUUGAUUAUGGUUGUAAAUGCUGACUUUAUGUGUUUCAGAUUCUUGAAAGCCAGAAAAUUUGAUGUUGAGAAAGCAAAGCACAUGUGGGCUGAUAUGAUUCAAUGGAGGAAAGAAUUUGGAACGGAUACUAUCACAGAGGUAAUUUGGUUUGCUGGUAUUCAUGUAUUUUUAACCUGUUAACAAUUCAGCGUUGAUUCACUUGUUUCCAUUUGUCUUUCUUGUACUAGGAGUUUGAGUUUCCAGAACAAAAUGAAGUUUUGAAAUAUUACCCUAAUUUCUAUCAUGGCGUGGACAAAGAAGGGAGACCUGUCUAUAUGGAAAGAUUGGGAAAAGUUGAUCCACACAAGCUAAUGCAAGUUACAGACAUUGACCGCUAUGUAAAAUACCAUGUGCGUGAAUUUGAGAAAAGCUUUCUGGUCAAGUUUCCUGCUUGCAGUAUUGCUGCAAAGAGGCAUAUAGAUUCAAGCACAACAAUUUUAGAUGUUCAAGGAGUGGUAUGUUCCUUAGAACCUGCAAUGUGUUGGUGUAGUUCCCAAAUAUGUAAUGGAAUUCACGUUAUAUGUAUCCUUCUUCAUUUUCAGGGACUAAAGAACUUUACCAAGUCAGCUCGGGAACUAGUUAUGCGGCUGCAGAAAAUUGAUGGUGACAAUUACCCUGAGGUAAGAUAUUUUUCUUAUUAAUUCCUUACUGCUAUAGUGUUUUUUUCUCUUUUUGUUAAGAUUCUGGACUUUGUUCGUCAAAUUUAAUAUUUAUUCUCAAUUAUGCAGACUCUGCAUGAAAUGUAUAUCAUCAAUGCUGGUCCUGGAUUUAGGCUUUUGUGGAAUACCAUAAAGUCAUUUCUAGAUCCUAGAACGACCUCAAAGAUCCAUGUAUGCUCAUACUUGUGUUACAAUAUGUUUAGAUGCUCGGUUGCUGAACCAUCUAAUGAAAAAAAUUCUGUUUUGGUGAAAAAUUUAGGUUAUUGGAAACAAGUACCAGAGUAAAUUGCUUGAGGUGAUUGAUGCCAGGUAACCACGUCUUCACACUAUUAAUUAAUUUUUGGUUUGUUGAGUAUUUUUGGCUUCACCUCAUUAAUUAUUCUGAGGACAUUUUGGCACUUCUAUUAAGAAACUGCUAUCAACACUAACGUUCUCUUAUAUAAUCCAUCUGCAGUGAAUUGCCGGAAUUUAUGGGUGGUAGUUGUACAUGUGCUGAUCAGGGAGGUUGUCUUCGCUCUGAUAAAGGACCAUGGAGGAAUCAAGAUAUAUUGAAGGUAUGGGGUUUCUGUGAUUCUUAGUUGCUUAAAUUCGUAUUAUUAAAACUGAUGCAUGAGUUUUAGGGAGGUACCAUAUGCUACAUUUCUGCAGAUGGUUCUUGAUGGUGGAGCACGACGCUCUAGGCAAGUUGUAAAAAUUCUAAACAACGAGGGUAAGGUCAUUACCUAUGCAAAGCCUCCCUAUUACCCAAUGGUAAGACAUCCACAAUAUCAUUUGUUUUAUGUAAUUAUUUGAAAUAUUCCUAGAUUGCCUCAACCAUUCUGAAACAGGUGAAAGGAAGUGACUCUUCUGCUGCUGAGUCUGGGUCAGAAGCUGAAGAUAUUUCUUCCCCCAAGGCACUUAAGGCCUACUCACAGCUGCGCUUGACUCCUGUCCGUGAAGAAGUAAGUUUUGGCUCUAAAUAAUUAUUACGUUGCACUUGAGUUGGGCACUUGGCAUUUAUUUUCUCGAGAAAACUGGGGGUUGGAUCAAGUAAAUUGUAUCUCCUUUCUGGUGCGUAGUAAAUCAACUUCAUGGAUCCAUUUCAGACCCUUCCAUGAAUGAUCGUAGCUGUGAAGAAGACCCCAUGCUUACCACUUAUCUUGGUUAUUAAUUUGAUUGCUUUCUGGGGUUUUGGAUUUCUAAGUUUCACUUCACUUUUUUUCUCUUGUAUGUUGAAUACAAAGGCAAAGAUAAUGGGCAAGGCAAAUCAUCCUAGUAGCUUUCCUGGGUUUGAUGAAUACAUUCCCAUCGUUGACAAAGCAGUUGACUCUACUUGGAGUGAGCAAGCAGUUUUGAAGAAGCUCGAAGUUUCCAAAGGUUAGUGAGGGAACUUUUGUGUAUAUUGCUUGUUGUUGCGUGUUCUGUUCUACAAUCAACUUGUGUAGUUUUUGCUAACUAUUAAAUAUUAAUGUAGCAUCAAGUUGGUUUUCCUGGCUUUUAACUAUAUAGAGCAUUAAACUCACAUAUUCCUGGUACCAACAAGUUUUUUAUGAUCUUAAUGUCACUGCCAGUUAAAAUUGAUGGUUAAUUAAUGGUUGGUGCUGCACAGAAAGUCGGUCUGAUUUAUUUGUGUUUUUUUCCUCGAAACUAUUUAUUUGUGUUUUCUUGAUUGAAAUCUUUUCUUUGAUUGAAAUUACAUUCUAUCAGUAAGCUAGCAUACCAGUGUCUCAUUUUCUAUAGUUGCAUAUUUGCUAUGCACUCGCGGUUCUUUUAUAUUCAGCUGUGUGUUACUCUUGGGAUUAAUUCAGCUAAAAGAAGUGAUAUCUGCUUCUAUUGCAGCAACUGUUCCGCAGGCUCCAAAGACUUCAGAAGCUAUCCAUGUUCGUAUUUGGUUAGCAGUUCUUGCUCUGUUCAUGACGCUUGUAAAUCUUGUCCAGUCACUGCCAUCCCGUAUGAACAAGACGUGUUUGGAGGUGAUGCCAGACAACAAUGGAGCUUCA
Molecule: long non-coding RNA, 41854 nt
Filed under: Linum usitatissimum (flax)
Lineage: Eukaryota; Viridiplantae; Streptophyta; Magnoliopsida; Malpighiales; Linaceae
Description: long non-coding RNA (LUSI_LNC002865)
Source: RNAcentral